CGGUGGGACACCUCUCCCCAACGAGAGGCGAUUAUCUGAAAGGGUAGCU
This 49-nucleotide non-coding RNA is filed under the name marine eukaryotic metagenome. RNAcentral describes it as "serC leader". It matches the Rfam family "serC leader". From Rfam's summary of the family: This family is a putative regulatory RNA structure that is found upstream of the serC-serA operon in some alpha-proteobacteria. The final stem of the structure overlaps the ribosome binding site of the serC reading frame. The record is from RNAcentral.